Long non-coding RNA from Astatotilapia calliptera (eastern happy), 1527 nucleotides. The record is from Ensembl. NCBI's taxonomy places the organism in Eukaryota, Metazoa, Chordata, Actinopteri, Cichliformes, Cichlidae.
GUCUGAACUUUGGUUCAAAGACUUUGCAGCACUUUUGUGAGAAUGAGUUUCAUAUUGAUAUCAAAGAUUAACAGGACAGCAUGACUGAGUUAUAGCAGAACAGCAACCGGCUUCAGCUUCACAUAGUAGUUCUGUUUAAUAAUUCAACAAAAUAUCACAGUGUUUCUGUUUAUGGGCUUUAACGCAAUCAGCGUUCAGAAAAAGAAGGCGGAGUAAUGAAACAUUGGACAGUCUCCUCCCCAUUCACUUUGGAAAGUCUCAUUUUUAGCCUUCUGCCUGCAUAGCACACAGAUACUCUCUCCUUUCUUCUGCCAGAGCUGGAGCAUCAAAAAAUAUGUUUGAUGCCAGGAUCUUACUGUUGCUGCUCCUGUCUGGACAUCGGAGAGCUUCUGACGAUUUGACGUACGAGGAUGAAGCACAAACAGGAGAGCUGACAGCUAUGACAAAGGAACAAAGAGAGUAUCUACGUUGGUUCUACCGCACAGAGGACUCAACCACAUGGACAUUUGUACUGCUGGGACUGGCCUUUGUCUGCCUUCUUGUUGGUUUUCUUCUCCUGGGAAUGGGAGCCAUGGCAAAUAAGAGCAGGAAGAAGAUAGCCGAGUACAAGGCUGCAACAUCUCUGCUUCAGAAAAAUGAAGAUCAGGAGCUGCUCAAAGAAAACAGCACACACCCAGCAUCAGACAUGCCACUGCAGGGAAACAAGCCUCACAUGUCCAACAGUGACACAAGUGAGCAGAGCAAUGCAGGAAAUAUUGUGGUCACAUGGAAAGAUGGCAACACCUCCUGCCUGUACCCAGAUCCUGCGGUGGAAGAGAAACAGGAGGAAGAGAGGAAAGAGAAAAUAACAGCUGCUGAGCUCGACUCUCCAGAUGAAGUGAAGAUUAUGAGCUGAAGAGGUCACAGUGAAUACCAGCGGCAGUGGGAGUGGCAGUGUUUGCUUUAAUAAUUGAUCAUAAUUUUCUGAUUAUUCUUAUUUUCAUGACUUCAGAGUGAAAUUUUAUGAAACCCUCAAAUGAUCAGAAAACAGUUCUCUUUUUUAUUCAUUCCUAAUAAAGCUCAUAACAGUUUACAUUACAGUUUCAAUGGGUGGUUGCGCUCAUAAAAUGUGUCCACGUGGGAACAAAAGUUGUAUAAAAAUGGUUCCCUGUAAAGGUAUUCUAUAAAAACAGUUUCUGGAUGUAAGUUCAGAUCUGCUUAUGUGUGCUUCCCCCAAUGGGCUUCGCCAUUGUUAGUUUUGGGGUGGCUAAAGGAGGCAGCUCUGCCCCUGCUGAUGGUUCAGUUUCUAGGGCUCCUCUUGUGGUGUUGAUGAUGAUUUCUGGUUUGAUGGGCUGUAAAGUUGCUUUCAAUAAGGUUCUGUCCACAGGGAGUCUGACAAAUAGACACCGAAUGUUCUAGUCUUCCUCCAUCCUGUGUUGUGAACUGAAAUGGGAAAAACUUAAUGAGAUUUGAGUACUUUUGUGUGUUGUGCUGAUGCCUCAGAUAUUAUUGCAUCACAAUAAAUCACUUGCUUUGAUCUUGAAGGCC